AUUGAACGCUGGCGGCAGGCUUAACACAUGCAAGUCGAGCGGGGGAAGGUAGCUUGCUACCGGACCUAGCGGCGGACGGGUGAGUAAUGCUUAGGAAUCUGCCUAUUAGUGGGGGACAACAUCUCGAAAGGGAUGCUAAUACCGCAUACGUCCUACGGGAGAAAGCAGGGGAUCUUCGGACCUUGCGCUAAUAGAUGAGCCUAAGUCGGAUUAGCUAGUUGGUGGGGUAAAGGCCUACCAAGGCGACGAUCCGUAGCGGGUCUGAGAGGAUGAUCCGCCACACUGGGACUGAGACACGGCCCAGACUCCUACGGGAGGCAGCAGUGGGGAAUAUUGGACAAUGGGGGGAACCCUGAUCCAGCCAUGCCGCGUGUGUGAAGAAGGCCUUAUGGUUGUAAAGCACUUAAGCGAGGAGGAGGCUACUCUAGUUAAUACCUAGGGAUAGUGGACGUUACUCGCAGAAUAAGCACCGGCUAACUCUGUGCCAGCAGCCGCAGUAA
RNAcentral lists this ribosomal RNA (500 nucleotides) under uncultured bacterium. RNAcentral describes it as "partial 16S ribosomal RNA". It matches the Rfam family "Bacterial small subunit ribosomal RNA", at positions 30 to 523 of the family's 1533-position model. The record is from RNAcentral.